CUAUGGCAGUGGUUUACUUAAAAUCUUUUCACAGAUAAGUCUGAGGAGACUGCAUAAUGUACCUCUAACGCCUGUGAAGAAUUAUUUUGGUUUUCAUUUACACAUUGUAUAUGUGCAGAUAUAAGUAUCAAGGAACUUGGCCAUGCACAGCUCGGCAAGCUGAAUGUUGAUUGACCACCCUUACCAUUAGAUUUUAAUGUAAUGUAAUUAUUAUUAUCUCUUGAUAAUUUAACUUAAUCAGUUUAAUCGAUUCUAGAGUAAUGUGAAGAUUGUUGUAAUGUGUAUGUCAUGUGCGUAGGUAUAUGUUGCUACAUAGGUUACACGUUCACUCUACCAAAUGGGUAGUUUAUUUUUAUAUCUUAACACGUGUGACUGACAGCUGAACUUGCGUGAAUAUUUCGGUGCACUUAAUCUUAUGCUGUCCGUGCGACCGCAGAGUCCGCUGAGAUGGCUCGGAUUGCACGCAUCAGUGUAUGAAAUGCUGCGUCGCGCAGGCUCAUGAUUAAGAGCCCCGAAUGGGUUCUAAACGAGUCUGGCAAUCUUCUACGAAAAUUCAAAUUAGUUCAGCCGUCAAUUACAUAUUUGUAAUGAACUUUACUCACGAUAGUUUGAAUUUUAUCUUAAGAUAACUUAUAUUUUAUUUAAGUGCCGAAACACACUGAGCGCGAGAGCAAUAGCUGUGCAAUGUUUUCAUGAAAAAUUCGCAGUGACAACAAAAACAUUAAGUUCCUACAUAAUAUUGACACAUACGUUCAUUUGCACAUAUAUGGGUCAUUUUCGAAAAAUGUAUAUUGCUUUAAAAUGCUUAUCCGACGUAUUCAUUAUAUUAUGUAAUUAAAAACAGAUCGUGUUGCAUUUAUGGCUCAUUUAAAAAGAAAUGUCCUUUGCACCAUGGACCAUGGCAUAUUGAGAACAUUAUGGGAUUAACUUUGAUUUGAUUUGAAACGUUUACACAAGCAGAAAGUUAAAAAGGUACAAAUUGUAACCAUAAUUCGCACUACGGAUUUAUAAUACAUAAGUAUUGUGCAUAAUUUAUGAAUAUUAUUGACUAUUUAAGUUACCUAUAUUUUGUCUCAUUGACUUACUUUUCGCUUUGUCCUUGAACAAAGGCGUAUUGUUAUAUUUUUAUAAAGAUGGCGUUUUAACGUUGAUUUGAUCCCUUUGCAAUUUUUUUAAAGUAUUCGUGUACCUACCUUCAGUUUACGUUACAGUAAAUGUAACUAACUCACAUUUGGGAUGUCACGUAUCAGUUUAGUCACAAACAUUGAUCACGUUUGUCACAUGUGCAUUUGUUUGAAAAUGACUCAUUCUUAUACAGGUGCAAAUGUCAAGUCAUUAACUUUAGUUAGGGCUGUCAAUUUUUAGAUUAAUUUUAUAUGAAAUGUGAAAUAUAAGUUUAUUUUAUUUUUUUAAAUAAGUUAUAUCUAUAAAUCGAUUGUUAAUGAUAUUUUAUAUAGGUGGUUUCUCAAUACCCCAAUUUCAAUUAAAAGUCAAGUAGAAAUGCAUAUGUUUAGCCUUUUGAGAUGCGUCUGUGGUAUUAACUGUGAAGUGAAUAAGGAUCUAUUAGAAGUCAGCUUUGUAUUAUACGGUAUUUAAAUAUUUUCGCGAUAAAAAGUGCUCCACAGGUGCACCCUACCUGUCUCCGUGCCAAAUUUCAUUAGGAUCGUUGCGGUCGAGCCGAACAUAGGUUACAAAUUAACAAACAGACAGCAUUUAUUAUAUUGCUGAGUGCAAACCAAGUAACACGAGACACGACUGCAACACCAUUUCACACUUAAAGUAAUGACGUAUAGUACAAUACACUUUUUUCUAACUUUUCUUAUAAUGUAAUGUUAAUCUUUUCAUUCCUGUAUGCAGGUGUGUUUUUAAAAUUUUCUUAACAAUUAAAAUUAAAAUUUACUGUAACUGUACGGUCUUCGCGUAACGCAAUGCAAAUCGAGUUUAGCCGGAAACGCUGUGUUUCGGCACUUAUUGCGCAUUUUUACUAUACAGUCGCCGUAAGAAGCGUACUCAUAGGUCACGCAAAAACAUUCGUUUGCGAAACAAGCAUUCUCUUAAGAGGACAAUUUUUUAGUAAGCAGUUUUUACCAAAAAAAAAAAAAUAACAAAAAUAUGUCCUUGCGUGACAAACGCUUGCGCAACGAAUGCUCGCAAAACUAAAAGAACAGUACAUUUAGUGGAUAGUAAUGAAGAACUUAAUUAUAUUUAAAAAAGUGAAGUCAUUAAUAAUAGUUUUAAUCAACAUACUAGUUGGAAUCUACAUUUUAUAUUUUUUCAUCAAACAAUUUUGUAAACAUGUAAAUUAUUCUUUCUCAUGUAUGAAUAUUUAUCGAAUUACUUAUAUUUUAAGAAUAUUAGGUGUGAAAUUCAUUUAUUUAUUUAUUAAUAUACAUUAUUUAAUAACUCGAAACGCAGUUCAGAUUACGAUUUCCUUUACCCAUGUAUCAUCAUAACUAUGAAUGAGCACCGGAAGGUCCAAGUCAAUAAUAAAAGUCCUAAUAUAAAUUUAAAUGGCGGACGUUUUGUCCUUUUCCCGCAAAAUAGAUUUUUUUAAAGCCUUACUGAAUUUAUUACGCCACAAACAUGCCUUAAAAUGUAAACCAUUUUUUUCACAACUUUUAAGUGUAAAGUAUAUUUUAAAAAUAAAAUAAAAUGAAUAAAAAGAGGUUUGAUAUUUUUAAAAGAUCCUAUACACUUGCAGUACCUAAAUUGUUUCAAUUACUGGACAAGUAAAAUAAAAUGGCAUAUAUGAAUUCUUUCCAAUCAGCAAAAUUCAAAUUAAUUUAAUUUAUAAACAUACAAUAACUAACAUGGAUGUAAAAUCUACGAAAAGUACAAUUUAAAGACGUGGUUUAUAGAGAAGUGGCUCUCACACCAUUAUAUGUAUGUCAAUGUAGGGCCACGUCCCGGCUAUAGCUUGAAGAUGUCCGCGCCACUUCAAAUACCUCGCAAUCAUGAAAUUAAAUAGACUUAUCUGUGUGACUCAUUACUAUGAGGUGUAUUUGUGGUAUUGUAUGUAAUAGAGAAUUAAUUAAAUUUUUGCAAUGUG
Molecule: long non-coding RNA, 3049 nt
Organism: Pararge aegeria (speckled wood butterfly)
Lineage: Eukaryota; Metazoa; Arthropoda; Insecta; Lepidoptera; Nymphalidae
Exons: 2
Source: RefSeq, a predicted model, not a curated record